UGGGCAACCUGCCCUGUACUGGGGAAUAAUCAUUGGAAACGAAUGACUAAUACCGCCAUGUGAUCCUCGGAAGGCAUCUUCUGAGGAAGAAAGGAUUUAUUCGGUACAGGAUGGGCCCGCAUCUGAUUAGCUAGUUGGUGAGAUAACAGCCCACCAAGGCGACGAUCAGUAGCCGACCUGAGAGGGUGAUCGGCCACAUUGGGACUGAGACACGGCCCAA
This 220-nucleotide ribosomal RNA is filed under the name uncultured bacterium. RNAcentral's name for it is "partial 16S ribosomal RNA". It matches the Rfam family "Bacterial small subunit ribosomal RNA", at positions 118 to 334 of the family's 1533-position model. The record is from RNAcentral.